UGUUCUCACUCCCUCCUGCUGCAGCACAAGCCACAGUAAAGCCUUGUCUGAGUUCCUCGUCUGGCCGCUUAUCAAUUUCUAUCGAUUAAAGAGUCCAAGGACCCGGGUCAGUUUUCUACUUUGUGAUUACUCUGGCGGGAAGUCCUUGGGGCCUUUUACAGCCCCCGCCCCAGGAGAGGAUGUAGGCCCCUCCGGGACCACCAGACGCAGCUUCCCUGCGGGUGAUGAGCGGCGGCCUAGACCUCUUGCUUCGGCUUCUCCGCGUUUGGCAAAACAUGAGCUUCUGAGAGUUCCUGGCCACCCACCACCUCACAGAAGUCUCAACUCUGCCGUUUUCAUCCCGACAGCCGACCCAGCUGGGGACGUGAUCAAAUCUGAACUCGGAACAGCAUCGUCUGUUUCUGAGGCUGCCAGCAAAUCAUCUACACAACUACACAACACAUCUACAUCUACAGCAAAUCAUCACGCCACAACUACUGAGCCUGCGCUCUAGAGCCCCCGAGCCACAACCACUGAGCCCACGUGCUGCAACUGCUGGGCCUGCAUGCCUAGAGCCCAUGCUCUGCAACAAGAGAAACCACCACCAUGAGAGGCCCGUGCACCGCAACAAAGACUAGCCCCUGCUAAAUAAAUAAAAUUUUAAAAUAAAA
Physeter macrocephalus (sperm whale) is the source of this 650-nucleotide long non-coding RNA. RefSeq lists it as uncharacterized. The transcript is spliced from 3 exons. The record is from RefSeq and is a predicted model, not a curated record. Lineage: Eukaryota; Metazoa; Chordata; Mammalia; Artiodactyla; Physeteridae.